CCUACGGGAGGCAGCAGUGGGGGAUAUUGCACAAUGGGGGAAACCCUGAUGCAGCGACGCCGCGUGUGGGAAGACGGUCCUCUGGAUUGUAAACCACUGUCCCCAGGGACGAAGAUGACGGUACCUGGGGAGGAAGCUCCGGCUAACUACGUGCCAGCAGCAGCGGUAAUCCGUAGGGAGCGAGCGUUGUCCGGAAGUACUGGGUGUAAAGGGAGCGUAGGCGGGACUGCAAGUUGGGUGGCAAAUCUACCGGCUCAACCGGUAGCCGCACUCAAAACUGCAGUGCUUGAGUGAAGUAGAGGCAGGCGGAAUUCCUAGUGUAGCGGUGAAAUGCGUAGAUAUUAGGAGGAAUACCAGUGGCGAAGGCGGCCUGCUGGGCUUUUACUGACGCUGAGGCUCGAAAGUGUGGGGAGCAAACAGGAUUAGAUACCCCAGUAGUC
Molecule: ribosomal RNA, 440 nt
Filed under: uncultured bacterium
Lineage: Bacteria
Description: partial 16S ribosomal RNA
Rfam family: Bacterial small subunit ribosomal RNA
Source: RNAcentral